Molecule: ribosomal RNA, 446 nt
Filed under: uncultured bacterium
Lineage: Bacteria
Description: partial 16S ribosomal RNA
Rfam family: Bacterial small subunit ribosomal RNA
Source: RNAcentral
CCUACGGGUGGCAGCAGUAGGGAAUUUUCGGCAAUGGGGGGAACCCUGACCGAGCAACGCCGCGUGAACGAAGAAGUUCUUCGUAAUGUAAAGUUCUUUUAACAGGGAAGAAAGAUAAAUUUGACGGUCCCUGAAGAAUAAGCUCCGGUGACCUACGUGCCAGCAGCCGCUGUAAUACGUAGGGAGCGAGCGUUAGCCGUAAUUAUUGGGCGAAAGGGGUGCGUAGAUGGGAUAGUAAGUCUUUUGUAAAAAUGCUGGGCUCAACCCAGUAGGGCAAAAGAUACUGCAAAGCUAGCGUAUGACAGAGGCAAGUGGAACUACAUGUGUAGCGGUAAAAUGCGUAAAUAUAAGUAAGAACACCAGUGGCGAAGGCGGCUUGCUGGGUCGAUACUGACAUUGAGGCACGAAAGCGUGGGGAGCAAACAGGAUUAGAUACCCGAGUAGUC